GGAGCCGUAGCGAAAGCGAGUUUUAACUGAGCGUUCAGUUACUUGACGUAGACCCGAAACCGGGCGACCUACCCAUGAGCAGGAGGAAGCGAAAGUAAAAUUUCGUGGAGGUCCGAACCCACGAGCGUUGAAAAGCUCGGGGAUGACUUGUGGGUAGCGGUGAAAUUCCAAUCGAGCCCGGAGAUAGCUGGUUCUCCCCGAAAUAGCUUUAGGGCUAGCCUCAAGGUGAGAGAUACGGAGGUAGAGCACUGAAUGUCCUAGGGGGUAUUGCACCUACCGAAGACUAUCAAACUCCGAAUGCCGUCAUCUUAUACUUGGGAGUCAGACUGUGGGUGAUAAGAUUCAUAGUCGAAAGGGCAACAGCCCAGAUCGUCAGCUAAGGUCCCUAAAUGUAAGUUAAGUGGUAAAGGAUGUGGGAUUGCACAGACAACCAGGAUGUUGGCUUAGAAGCAGCCACUCAUUCAAAGAGUGCGUAAUAGCUCACUGGUCGAGUGAUCCUGCGCCGAAGAUUUCCGGGGCUAAAACUUACUACCGAAGCUACGGCAUCAGUAAUGAUGGGUAGGGGAGCUUCCCAUACGGGUUGAAGCAUGACCGUAAGGACAUG
Molecule: ribosomal RNA, 604 nt
Filed under: Clostridioides difficile
Lineage: Bacteria; Bacillati; Bacillota; Clostridia; Peptostreptococcales; Peptostreptococcaceae
Description: bacterial LSU rRNA
Rfam family: Bacterial large subunit ribosomal RNA
Source: RNAcentral